Molecule: ribosomal RNA, 558 nt
Filed under: Eurotiomycetes sp.
Lineage: Eukaryota; Fungi; Ascomycota; Eurotiomycetes
Description: eukaryotic LSU rRNA
Rfam family: 5.8S ribosomal RNA (bases 222-375)
Source: RNAcentral
CUGCGGAAGGAUCAUUACUGAGUUAGGGUCUCAUCUCGAGCCCGAACCUCCAACCCUUUGUAUAAAACACUUUGUUGCUUUGGCAGGCCCGUCUGAAAAUCCUUUAACCGGGAUCGACGACCGCCGGGGGCGUUUAGUCACCUCUGGCCAGUGCUUGCCGAUAGCCUAUUCAAAAUUCUUUAUUAAAUCAUGUCUGAAAAAUUAUAACUAAAUAUAAUUAAAACUUUUAACAACGGAUCUCUUGGUUCUGGCAUCGAUGAAGAACGCAGCGAAAUGCGAUAAGUAAUGUGAAUUGCAGAAUUCAGUGAAUCAUCGAAUCUUUGAACGCACAUUGCGCCCUUUGGUAUUCCGAAGGGCAUGCCUGUUCGAGCGUCAUUAUCAACCCUCAAGCUCGGCUUGUUAUUGGGCUCUUAUCGUUACAGAUAGGCCCGAAAGAUAAUGGCGGCGUCAUAAAUGACCCCAGAUGCAGCGAGCUUAUAGCAUACAUCGAAAGGUUUUUAUGGCCCGGCCUUAACGAGAAGCAAUUCUCAAUUUAUUUAAAGGUUGACCUCGGAUCAG